UUAAAUUGAAGAGUUUGAUCAUGGCUCAGAUUGAACGCUGGCGGCAGGCCUAACACAUGCAAGUCGAACGGUAACAGGAAGCAGCUUGCUGCUUCGCUGACGAGUGGCGGACGGGUGAGUAAUGUCUGGGAAACUGCCUGAUGGAGGGGGAUAACUACUGGAAACGGUGGCUAAUACCGCAUAACGUCGCAAGACCAAAGAGGGGGACCUUCGGGCCUCUUGCCAUCAGAUGUGCCCAGAUGGGAUUAGCUUGUUGGUGAGGUAACGGCUCACCAAGGCGACGAUCCCUAGCUGGUCUGAGAGGAUGACCAGCCACACUGGAACUGAGACACGGUCCAGACUCCUACGGGAGGCAGCAGUGGGGAAUAUUGCACAAUGGGCGCAAGCCUGAUGCAGCCAUGCCGCGUGUAUGAAGAAGGCCUUCGGGUUGUAAAGUACUUUCAGCGGGGAGGAAGGUGUUGUGGUUAAUAACCACAGCAAUUGACGUUACCCGCAGAAGAAGCACCGGCUAACUCCGUGCCAGCAGCCGCGGUAAUACGGAGGGUGCAAGCGUUAAUCGGAAUUACUGGGCGUAAAGCGCACGCAGGCGGUCUGUCAAGUCGGAUGUGAAAUCCCCGGGCUCAACCUGGGAACUGCAUUCGAAACUGGCAGGCUUGAGUCUUGUAGAGGGGGGUAGAAUUCCAGGUGUAGCGGUGAAAUGCGUAGAGAUCUGGAGGAAUACCGGUGGCGAAGGCGGCCCCCUGGACAAAGACUGACGCUCAGGUGCGAAAGCGUGGGGAGCAAACAGGAUUAGAUACCCUGGUAGUCCACGCCGUAAACGAUGUCUACUUGGAGGUUGUGCCCUUGAGGCGUGGCUUCCGGAGCUAACGCGUUAAGUAGACCGCCUGGGGAGUACGGCCGCAAGGUUAAAACUCAAAUGAAUUGACGGGGGCCCGCACAAGCGGUGGAGCAUGUGGUUUAAUUCGAUGCAACGCGAAGAACCUUACCUGGUCUUGACAUCCACGGAAGUUUUCAGAGAUGAGAAUGUGCCUUCGGGAACCGUGAGACAGGUGCUGCAUGGCUGUCGUCAGCUCGUGUUGUGAAAUGUUGGGUUAAGUCCCGCAACGAGCGCAACCCUUAUCCUUUGUUGCCAGCGAUUAGGUCGGGAACUCAAAGGAGACUGCCAGUGAUAAACUGGAGGAAGGUGGGGAUGACGUCAAGUCAUCAUGGCCCUUACGACCAGGGCUACACACGUGCUACAAUGGCGCAUACAAAGAGAAGCGACCUCGCGAGAGCAAGCGGACCUCAUAAAGUGCGUCGUAGUCCGGAUUGGAGUCUGCAACUCGACUCCAUGAAGUCGGAAUCGCUAGUAAUCGUGGAUCAGAAUGCCACGGUGAAUACGUUCCCGGGCCUUGUACACACCGCCCGUCACACCAUGGGAGUGGGUUGCAAAAGAAGUAGGUAGCUUAACCUUCGGGAGGGCGCUUACCACUUUGUGAUUCAUGACUGGGGUGAAGUCGUAACAAGGUAACCGUAGGGGAACCUGCGGUUGGAUCACCUCCUUACCU
This 1547-nucleotide ribosomal RNA is filed under the name Salmonella enterica subsp. enterica serovar Tennessee. RNAcentral's name for it is "bacterial SSU rRNA". It matches the Rfam family "Bacterial small subunit ribosomal RNA". The record is from RNAcentral. Lineage: Bacteria; Pseudomonadati; Pseudomonadota; Gammaproteobacteria; Enterobacterales; Enterobacteriaceae.